CAGUCGCCGCGGGAAUACAGAGGGUGCGAGCGUUAAUCGGAAUUACUGGGCGUAAAGCGUGCGCAGGCGGUUUGUUAAGACAGAUGUGAAAUCCCCGGGCUCAACCUGGGAACUGCAUUUGUGACUGGCAAGCUAGAGUGUGGCAGAGGGGGGUGGAAUUCCGCGUGUAGCAGUGAAAUGCGUAGAUAUGUGGGGGAAUACCGAUGGCGAAGGCAGCCCCCUGGGAUAACACUGACGCUCAUGCACGAAAGCGUGGGGAGCAAACAGGAUUAGAUACCCCCGUAGUCCCUGUCUCUUAUAC
RNAcentral lists this ribosomal RNA (301 nucleotides) under uncultured bacterium. Its description in RNAcentral is "partial 16S ribosomal RNA". It matches the Rfam family "Bacterial small subunit ribosomal RNA", at positions 509 to 807 of the family's 1533-position model. The record is from RNAcentral.